AUGACUAUAAGUUAACGGUAGACUGUUCGUCUUCCAAACGAAGUGUGCCGAUUCGAAUUCGGCUAGUCAUA
This 71-nucleotide transfer RNA is filed under the name Aspergillus rambellii. It matches the Rfam family "tRNA". Rfam says of the family: Transfer RNA (tRNA) molecules are approximately 80 nucleotides in length. Their secondary structure includes four short double-helical elements and three loops (D, anti-codon, and T loops). Further hydrogen bonds mediate the characteristic L-shaped molecular structure. tRNAs have two regions of fundamental functional importance: the anti-codon, which is responsible for specific mRNA codon recognition, and the 3' end, to which the tRNAs corresponding amino acid is attached (by aminoacyl-tRNA synthetases). tRNAs cope with the degeneracy of the genetic code in two manners: having more than one tRNA (with a specific anti-codon) for a particular amino acid; and 'wobble' base-pairing, i.e. permitting non-standard base-pairing at the 3rd anti-codon position. Lineage: Eukaryota; Fungi; Ascomycota; Eurotiomycetes; Eurotiales; Aspergillaceae. The record is from Rfam by way of RNAcentral.